Molecule: ribosomal RNA, 634 nt
Filed under: Salmonella enterica subsp. enterica
Lineage: Bacteria; Pseudomonadati; Pseudomonadota; Gammaproteobacteria; Enterobacterales; Enterobacteriaceae
Description: partial 23S ribosomal RNA
Rfam family: Bacterial large subunit ribosomal RNA
Source: RNAcentral
ACAAGCAGUGGGAGCACAGGUUUACCUGUGUGACUGCGUACCUUUUGUAUAAUGGGUCAGCGACUUAUAUUCUGUAGCAAGGUUAACCGUAUAGGGGAGCCGGAGGGAAACCGAGUCUUAACCGGGCGUUAAGUUGCAGGGUAUAGACCCGAAACCCGGUGAUCUAGCCAUGGGCAGGUUGAAGGUUGGGUAACACUAACUGGAGGACCGAACCGACUAAUGUUGAAAAAUUAGCGGAUGACCUGUGGCUGGGGGUGAAAGGCCAAUCAAACCGGGAGAUAGCUGGUUCUCCCCGAAAGCUAUUUAGGUAGCGCCUCGUGAAUUCAUCUCCGGGGGUAGAGCACUGUUUCGGCUAGGGGGCCAUCCCGGCUUACCAACCCGAUGCAAACUGCGAAUACCGGAGAAUGUUAUCACGGGAGACACACGGCGGGUGCUAACGUCCGUCGUGAAGAGGGAAACAACCCAGACCGCCAGCUAAGGUCCCAAAGUCAUGGUUAAGUGGGAAACGAUGUGGGAAGGCCCAGACAGCCAGGAUGUUGGCUUAGAAGCAGCCAUCAUUUAAAGAAAGCGUAAUAGCUCACUGGUCGAGUCGGCCUGCGCGGAAGAUGUAACGGGGCUAAACCAUGCACCGAAG